GCCUCUGUAGCUCAGCGGUUAGAGCGCCUGUCUCGUAAACAGGAGGGCGGGAGUAGCCUUUUCUUUCUUGCGAAGAAAGAAAACCCUAGGGAAAAGAAAGAACCAGCAGGCUACCGAAUUCAAAUCUCCCCUGAGGCU
RNAcentral lists this transfer RNA (138 nucleotides) under Microcaldota archaeon. RNAcentral's name for it is "tRNA-Thr". It matches the Rfam family "tRNA". From Rfam's summary of the family: Transfer RNA (tRNA) molecules are approximately 80 nucleotides in length. Their secondary structure includes four short double-helical elements and three loops (D, anti-codon, and T loops). Further hydrogen bonds mediate the characteristic L-shaped molecular structure. tRNAs have two regions of fundamental functional importance: the anti-codon, which is responsible for specific mRNA codon recognition, and the 3' end, to which the tRNAs corresponding amino acid is attached (by aminoacyl-tRNA synthetases). tRNAs cope with the degeneracy of the genetic code in two manners: having more than one tRNA (with a specific anti-codon) for a particular amino acid; and 'wobble' base-pairing, i.e. permitting non-standard base-pairing at the 3rd anti-codon position. The record is from RNAcentral. Lineage: Archaea; Nanobdellati; Microcaldota.